Molecule: non-coding RNA, 328 nt
Filed under: Clostridium amylolyticum
Lineage: Bacteria; Bacillati; Bacillota; Clostridia; Eubacteriales; Clostridiaceae
Description: GlcN6P sequence
Rfam family: glmS glucosamine-6-phosphate activated ribozyme aptamer
About the family: This entry contains a glucosamine-6-phosphate activated ribozyme that is found in the mRNA for GlmS. GlmS is an enzyme that uses fructose-6-phosphate and glutamine to generate glucosamine-6-phosphate.
Source: Rfam by way of RNAcentral
UACAAUAUAAAAGCGCCAGGACUAGAGUAGAGCCAAAUUAAAAUUUGGAACAUAUGAUUAACUUACCAUGACGUAUGGAGAAGUUGGAGCAUAUGAUAAAAGGAAACUUCUUCUCCGAUGCUAAAGCUUAAAAAAUAAGAAAUAUGAAGCUUUAGCAUCUACGAAGAAGAAAGCGACCGCGCCAAAUUAAAAUUUAGAGCCUCUGCUUUAGUUGACGAGGAUGGGGAGUAUCGAGUCUUCGGCGGGUGCCCCACGGUAGCGCACUACCGUUAACGAUUGAUAAAGCCGGGAAGUGAUUUCUGGAAACAACAUCAAUCAGGUGUUAAAA